This 140-nucleotide ribosomal RNA is filed under the name uncultured eukaryote. RNAcentral describes it as "partial 18S ribosomal RNA". It matches the Rfam family "Eukaryotic small subunit ribosomal RNA", at positions 1299 to 1458 of the family's 1831-position model. The record is from RNAcentral.
UGGUGGAGUGAUCUGUCUGGUUGAUUCCGUUAACGAACGAGACCUCAGCCUGCUAAAUAGUUGCAUUAAUGCUUUGCAUUGAUCGCAACUUCUUAGAGGGACUUUGGGUGUCGAGCCCAAGGAAGUUUGAGGCAAUAACA